RNAcentral lists this ribosomal RNA (380 nucleotides) under uncultured eukaryote. RNAcentral describes it as "SSU rRNA". It matches the Rfam family "Eukaryotic small subunit ribosomal RNA", at positions 592 to 984 of the family's 1831-position model. The record is from RNAcentral.
CAAUAGCGUAUAUUAAAGUUUCAGCGGUUAAAAAGCUCGUAGUUGGAUUUCAGCUGAGGACGACCGGUCCGCCUCUGGGUAAGUAUCUGGAUCGGCCUGGGCAUCUUCUUAGAGAGCGUAGCUGCACCUGACUGUGUGGUGCGGUAUCCAGGACUUUUACUUUGAGGCAAUUAGAGUGUUUCAAGCAGGCACACGCCUUGAAUACAUUAGCAUGGAAUAAUAAGAUAGGUCUAUUUUGUUGGUUAUAGAGCUUUGGUAAUGAUUAAUAGGGAUAGUUGGGGGCAUUCGUAUUUAACUGUCAGAUGUGAAAUUCUUGGAUUUGUUAAAGACGGACUAUUUGCGACAGCAUUUGCCAAUGAUGUUUUUCAUUGAUCAAGAAC